CUUGCGAUGUUCCUUUUUCUGCAAUAUAAGCCAUCACAUGAUUUCAGUUCCAUAAAUUAAUGAUGACAGAAAGAAAAAAGUUGCUUGAAAUUUGGAGGUAUGUGAGACGUCUAACUGCAAUAUAAGCCAUCACAUGAUUUCAGUUCCAUAAAUUAAUGUUCAUUUUUCUCUAUUUUUAACCAACCAUGGCCUAGUACUUUUUGUGUUAAUGAGGGAUGAAGGGGUUGUUCAUGGGAGUUGUUCCCCGUGUAGGUCGUGCCGGCCCUUCUGUUGGCAUGGUCAUCUCCUCAUAUGAAGUCGUCAAGUAUUUUCGUCCCUUCUCAUCUCCUCUGCUCCUCCCCCUCCCUGCAUCCCUCCUCCUCUUCCUUCCCAUUUUCCAGUUUUCUUCCUUCCUUUUUAAUUCCUGUUCUCUCAUGAGUUUAAUCUCAGUUUUUUUUUAGUCAAGUCUCAACUAUCUUGGGCUUCAUGGCCCUUAUCCGACUUUUUUCACCUGCUUUUACUACUUUCUAUCUUUUAAUUUUUCUUCUUCCCUCUUCCUUAGGCGUAAUAUUUCAUUCCCACACACCAUGUGCUCGGAUUGAUGGGAUUCGAUAAAAAAUUAAAUAUAAGAUCCACUUCCCUCCCUUACUUCCCCUCCCCCAACCGGCAUGCCGGAUCCCCAUUGAGACCAAGUGUUAUGUGGCCUUCACCACAGUAUGGGUAUUUUACAUACCCUCAUCCUCACUUUUUACCCAUAAGAUACUUUAUUUGUGUAUAUUUGUAGGGAUUAGUGAAGGGAUUUGGAUCUGGUGUCUACUUUCUCGGUUCAGAGUUUGACUUCCUUUGAGGAUGUGGCUGCGGUGGCGAUCUGAUUUAUGCUGCUUGAGAUUAGGGUUGUUUGUUGUUUGUUUUUUCAGCCUUAAAGCCUAAGCUUAUGUGGGUCUCACGUUGUAUCUUGGUUGCGGCUCUCAUUUUGCUUAGGCCUUUUACUUUAUGUUGUUGUUUACCUGGCUCUUUUUGGGCCCUUAUACUAGUUUUUAAUAUAAUGAAAGUUCGCUUCUUGAUUUUAAAAAAAAAACAAACAAACAAAGACUACCAGAAGGGGGAUUAAUUCCAGAAUACUAUGUUCUGACAUCUAAUAGGAGAGUUUCUCCAGUGCAAAUGCAAAUCCGCCAGUGUCAAUGGUGUUUAGGGUCCGAAAGAAGUACUUAUAACUCCCUAAUUUUCUUUAUUCCAUUUUCAAGACUAACUCUUUAGAAAGAUUCAUAACAGUAAGCAUAAAAGACUUGUAAAGUAAAUAUACAUACAGGAAGUUAGGAUGACUAGGGAAAAGUGGAUGGGGAAGAUAGAAAGAGGUUUACACAGAGAGACAAAUGGAGAAGAUGGACUGGUUAGGGUUUUGAUUUUUAAUAAUUAAGGGCAUGUUUGGUUAAUUAGUUGGGUUUUUAAUAAGGGUAGUUUAGGUACUAUCAGUCUGAUGUCCUUUUGUCCGAAACAUGGCCUGUUGAUUGGAGAGGGUUAUUAGAGCAUUUUCAAUAGAGAGGUCAAAAGAUAAAUGCCAAAUGUUAAUUUGAUGACUAACAUUACAAUGUCAAAAUUUCUCUUUUUCCAACCGAUAUAUUUUUUUAGUUAUAAAUUAUAUUUGUAGGAUACAUUUUAAAAAGAAAUCAAUUAAAAUAAAUUUUCAAGAUCUAUAAUUGGUGCAUUAAUGUCA
Molecule: long non-coding RNA, 1693 nt
Filed under: Malus domestica (apple)
Lineage: Eukaryota; Viridiplantae; Streptophyta; Magnoliopsida; Rosales; Rosaceae
Description: long non-coding RNA (MDOM_LNC000825)
Source: RNAcentral